GAUGAACGCUGGCAGCGUGCUUAACACAUGCAAGUCGAACGAAGCACCUUAUUCUGAUUUCUUCGGAAUGAAAAAUUUGGUGACUGAGUGGCGGACGGGUGAGUAACGCGUGGGUAACCUGCCUCAUACAGGGGGAUAACAGUUAGAAAUGACUGCUAAUACCGCAUAAGACCACAGCACCGCAUGGUGCAGGGGUAAAAACUCCGGUGGUAUGAGAUGGACCCGCGUCUGAUUAGGUAGUUGGUGGGGUAACGGCCUACCAAGCCGACGAUCAGUAGCCGACCUGAGAGGGUGACCGGCCACAUUGGGACUGAGACACGGCCCAAACUCCUACGGGAGGCAGCAGUGGGGAAUAUUGCACAAUGGGGGAAACCCUGAUGCAGCGACGCCGCGUGAGCGAUGAAGUAUUUCGGUAUGUAAAGCUCUAUCAGCAGGGAAGAAAAUGACG
This 448-nucleotide ribosomal RNA is filed under the name uncultured bacterium. RNAcentral describes it as "bacterial SSU rRNA". It matches the Rfam family "Bacterial small subunit ribosomal RNA", at positions 28 to 456 of the family's 1533-position model. The record is from RNAcentral.